RNAcentral lists this ribosomal RNA (711 nucleotides) under uncultured bacterium. RNAcentral describes it as "bacterial SSU rRNA". It matches the Rfam family "Bacterial small subunit ribosomal RNA", at positions 8 to 722 of the family's 1533-position model. The record is from RNAcentral.
AGAGUUUGAUCAUGGCUCAGAUUGAACGCUGGCGGCAGGCUUAACACAUGCAAGUCGAGCGGUAACAGGUCCUCGGAUGCUGACGAGCGGCGGACGGGUGAGUAACGCGUAGGAACCUGCCUGAUAGUGGGGGAUAGCCCGGCGAAAGCCGGAUUAAUACCGCAUACGCUCUACGGAGGAAAGGGGGCUUCGGCUCCCGCUAUCAGAUGGGCCUGCGUAGGAUUAGCUAGUUGGUAGGGUAAAGGCCUACCAAGGCGACGAUCCUUAGCUGGUCUGAGAGGAUGAUCAGCCACACUGGGACUGAGACACGGCCCAGACUCCUACGGGAGGCAGCAGUGGGGAAUAUUGGACAAUGGGGGAAACCCUGAUCCAGCCAUGCCGCGUGUGUGAAGAAGGCCUUCGGGUUGUAAAGCACUUUCAGUGGGGAGGAAGGCUUGAUGGUUAAUACCCAUCAGGAUUGACGUUACCCACAGAAGAAGCACCGGCUAACUCCGUGCCAGCAGCCGCGGUAAUACGGAGGGUGCGAGCGUUAAUCGGAAUUACUGGGCGUAAAGCGCACGUAGGCGGCUUGGCAUGUCGGGUGUGAAAUCCCCGGGCUCAACCUGGGAACUGCAUCCGAAACUGCCUUGCUAGAGUAUGGGAGAGGGAAGCGGAAUUUCUGGUGUAGCAGUGAAAUGCGUAGAUAUCAGAAGGAACAUCAGUGGCGAAGGC